UACAGAGGGGGCAAGCGUUGUUCGGAAUUACUGGGCGUAAAGGGCGCGUAGGCGGCCUUCUAAGUCGAACGUGAAAUCCCCGGGCUCAACCCGGGAACUGCGUCCGAUACUGGAAGGCUUGAAUCCGGGAGAGGGAUGCGGAAUUCCAGGUGUAGCGGUGAAAUGCGUAGAUAUCUGGAGGAAUACCGGUGGCGAAGGCGGCGACCUGGGUCGAGACUGACGCUGAGGCGCGAAAGCGUGGGGAGCAAACAGG
This 253-nucleotide ribosomal RNA is filed under the name uncultured bacterium. RNAcentral describes it as "partial 16S ribosomal RNA". It matches the Rfam family "Bacterial small subunit ribosomal RNA", at positions 524 to 776 of the family's 1533-position model. The record is from RNAcentral.